GACGAACGCUGGCGGCGUGCUUAACACAUGCAAGUCGAACGGUAAGGCCCUUCGGGGUACACGAGUGGCGAACGGGUGAGUAACACGUGGGUGAUCUGCCCUGCACUUCGGGAUAAGCCUGGGAAACUGGGUCUAAUACCGGAUAGGACUCCUGGCUUCAUGGUUGGGGGUGGAAAGCUUUUGCGGUGUGGGAUGGGCCCGCGGCCUAUCAGCUUGUUGGUGGGGUAAUGGCCUACCAAGGCGACGACGGGUAGCCGGCCUGAGAGGGUGACCGGUCACACUGGGAAGGAGAUACGGCCCAGACUCCUACGGGAGGCAGCAGUGGGGAAUAUUGCAAAAUGGGCGCAAGCCUGAUGCAGCGACGCCGCGUGAGGGAUGACGGCCUUCGGGUUGUAAACCUCUUUCAGCUAUGACGAAGCGCAAGUGACGGUAGUAGCAGAAGAAGGACCGGCCAACUACGUGCCAGCCGCCGCGGUAA
Molecule: ribosomal RNA, 478 nt
Filed under: uncultured bacterium
Lineage: Bacteria
Description: partial 16S ribosomal RNA
Rfam family: Bacterial small subunit ribosomal RNA
Source: RNAcentral